ACGGGAGGCAGCAGUGGGGAAUAUUGGGCAAUGGGCGAAAGCCUGACCCAGCAACGCCGCGUGAGUGAAGAAGGUUUUCGGAUUGUAAAGCUCUAUCCUCGGGGACGAAGGAAGUGACGGUACCCGAGAAGGAAGCCCCGGCUAACUACGUGCCAGCAGCCGCGGUAAUACGUAGGGGGCAAGCGUUGUCCGGAAUGAUUGGGCGUAAAGGGCGCGUAGGCGGCCUGUUAAGUCUGGAGUGAAAGUCCUGCUUUUAAGGUGGGAAUUGCUUUGGAUACUGAUGGGCUUGAGUGCAGGAGAGGUAAGUGGAAUUCCCAGUGUAGCGGUGAAAUGCGUAGAGAUUGGGAGGAACACCAGUGGCGAAGGCGACUUACUGGACUGUAACUGACGCUGAGGCGCGAAAGUGUGGGGAGCAAACAGGAUUAGAUACCCUGGUA
RNAcentral lists this ribosomal RNA (437 nucleotides) under uncultured bacterium. RNAcentral's name for it is "partial 16S ribosomal RNA". It matches the Rfam family "Bacterial small subunit ribosomal RNA", at positions 341 to 792 of the family's 1533-position model. The record is from RNAcentral.